This 491-nucleotide ribosomal RNA is filed under the name Fusarium solani. RNAcentral's name for it is "eukaryotic LSU rRNA". The stretch from base 148 to 301 matches the Rfam family "5.8S ribosomal RNA". The record is from RNAcentral. Lineage: Eukaryota; Fungi; Ascomycota; Sordariomycetes; Hypocreales; Nectriaceae.
CCGAGUUUUCACUCAUCAACCCUGUGAACAACCUAAACGUUGCUUCGGCGGGAAUAGACGGCCCCGUGAAACGGGCCGCCCCCGCCAGAGGACCCUUAACUCUGUUUCUAUAAUGUUUCUUCUGAGUAAAACAAGCAAAUAAAUUAAAACUUUCAACAACGGAUCUCUUGGCUCUGGCAUCGAUGAAGAACGCAGCGAAAUGCGAUAAGUAAUGUGAAUUGCAGAAUUCAGUGAAUCAUCGAAUCUUUGAACGCACAUUGCGCCCGCCAGUAUUCUGGCGGGCAUGCCUGUUCGAGCGUCAUUACAACCCUCAGGCCCCCGGGCCUGGCGUUGGGGAUCGGCGGAGCCCCCCGUGGGCACACGCCGUCCCCCAAAUACAGUGGCGGUCCCGCCGCAGCUUCCAUCGCGUAGUAGCUAACACCUCGCGACUGGAGAGCGGCGCGGCCACGCCGUAAAACACCCAACUCUUCUGAAGUGACCUCGAAUCAGGU